This 491-nucleotide ribosomal RNA is filed under the name uncultured bacterium. Its description in RNAcentral is "partial 16S ribosomal RNA". It matches the Rfam family "Bacterial small subunit ribosomal RNA", at positions 30 to 506 of the family's 1533-position model. The record is from RNAcentral.
AGUGAACGCUGGCGGUAGGCCUAACACAUGCAAGUCGAACGGCAGCACAGUAAGAGCUUGCUCUUACGGGUGGCGAGUGGCGGACGGGUGAGGAAUACAUCGGAAUCUACUUUUUCGUGGGGGAUAACGUAGGGAAACUUACGCUAAUACCGCAUACGACCUACGGGUGAAAGCAGGGGAUCUUCGGACCUUGCGCGAUUGAAUGAGCCGAUGUCGGAUUAGCUAGUUGGCGGGGUAAAGGCCCACCAAGGCGACGAUCCGUAGCUGGUCUGAGAGGAUGAUAGGCACAAGUGGAACGAAGAAAGGGCCCAGACACCGACGGAAGGAGGCAGGGGGGAAUAUUGAAAAAGGGGGGAAAGCCGGAACCAACAAUGCCGGGGGGGGGAAGAAGGCUUGCGGGUUGGAAAGCCUUUUUGUGGGGAAAAAAAGGAAGCAGGUUAAAACCCCGGUGUUCGGAAGGAACCCAAAGAAAAAGCACGGGAUAAUUUCGU